CCACGUUCGGACUGUGGUCUGCAACCCGACCACACGAAGCUGGAAUCGCUAGUAAUCGCGGAUCAGAAUGCCGCGGUGAAUACGUUCCCGGGUCUUGUACACACCGCCCGUCACACCAUGGGAGUCAGCAACGCCCGAAGUCAGUGACCCAACCAUUAUAGGAGGGAGCUGCCGAAGGCGGGGCAGGUGACUGGGGUGAAGUCGUAACAAGGUAAC
This 216-nucleotide ribosomal RNA is filed under the name uncultured bacterium. RNAcentral's name for it is "partial 16S ribosomal RNA". It matches the Rfam family "Bacterial small subunit ribosomal RNA", at positions 1287 to 1500 of the family's 1533-position model. The record is from RNAcentral.